GGGACACAGCCGGGACACGGCGUACAGCCAACCGGGGAGAUCCCGCAGCCACACGAGACGGUGUCGGCUGAGGCAUCGCCGCACCUCUGCUCUUCCCAGGGCAGAGUCCCAGCCCCUCGGCGUUCCGUGGGAGAGCAGAGUUACUCACUCGUUACUCCUAAGAUAGCCUUCUGGUGAUACUUAGUCAUACGAACGAAAGAGGUGAUGACCAGUGAUGGUUGCAUUUAGUGCUAUUACAAGAACUUGAUACACACCUUGUUACGCUGCACUCCUUCCAAGUUACAUGGGGCCCACCAAAACCAUCAGAUUUAUAUUUUGAUUAAGUGGCCACCCAAGGAUCGAAGAGCUUGGCAUUAUCAGCCCAAUCCACUGGGCAAGUCCCAGAGGCGAUGGUGGCCCUCAGCAGCUGCACCGAUCGCAGAGCUGGCGAUGGCAAACCUCCACCAGGGCACUUCUCACUGGUCAUGACUUGGUAAACAAGAAUGGGCUGUAUUGACUUCUGCAUUAGAAGAACCAAAUCCUGAGCCUAGCAUGGACUCCUGUGUGUAAAUGAGUGCCUGAAAAGAAGAAGGAUUUGUGAAAAUUAAUAGAAAGCAGGACUGCAAGGGUCUGUCAUUGUUACUGCGUUCAGCCUCCUGCCCUCAGACACGAUCCGCUCUCCCAUGGGAAUAUUUGUGGGAGUUUUAAGGGAGCUUUUUGGUUUUGAUUGAUUUUGAUUCCCUGCUUUCUCUACAGACUGUAUUUAUAUCAAAUGUAAGUUUAUAGUGUAAUUGACUUUCUCAUUUAAGUAAUCAGCUCCCAUCUGAAUCUGCUGGGUUUGGCAAGGCUGGAAGUUGGGGUACAGUGGUGUAUGAGAACUGAGAAGAGUAUCUGGGCUCCAGUACUGGUGAAUCUACCUCUUUAGAAUUUAUUGCCACAAAUAAUUUAGGAAAACAAAUAUGACUUAUUUAAAUGGUUUGUUUUUCAUGGUA
This is a long non-coding RNA of Lonchura striata (white-rumped munia), 971 nucleotides long. RefSeq lists it as uncharacterized. NCBI's taxonomy places the organism in Eukaryota, Metazoa, Chordata, Aves, Passeriformes, Estrildidae. The record is from RefSeq and is a predicted model, not a curated record.